GAGCGAACGCUGGCGGCAGGCCUAACACAUGCAAGUCGAACGAACCUUUCGGGGUUAGUGGCGGCCGGGUGAGUAACACGUGGGAACGUGCCUUUAGGUUCGGAAUAACUCAGGGAAACUUGUGCUAAUACCGAAUGUGCCCUUCGGGGGAAAGAUUUAUCGCCUUUAGAGCGGCCCGCGUCUGAUUAGCUAGUUGGUUGAGGUAAUGGCUCACCAAGGCGACGAUCAGUAGCUGGUCUGAGAGGAUGAUCAGCCACAUUGGGACUGAGACACGGCCCAAACUCCUACGGGAGGCAGCAGUGGGGAAUCUUGCGCAAUGGGCGAAAGCCUGACGCAGCCAUGCCGCGUGAAUGAUGAAGGUCUUAGGAUUGUAAAAUUCUUUCACCGGGGACGAUAAUGACGGUACCCGGAGAAGAAGCCCCGGCUAACUUCGUG
This 435-nucleotide ribosomal RNA is filed under the name uncultured bacterium. Its description in RNAcentral is "partial 16S ribosomal RNA". It matches the Rfam family "Bacterial small subunit ribosomal RNA", at positions 27 to 507 of the family's 1533-position model. The record is from RNAcentral.